AGCAGGCGCGCAAAUUACCCAUCUUGACUCAGGGAGGUAGUGACAAUAAAUAACAAUGCAGGGCAGGAUUCUGUCUUGUAAUUGGAAUGAGAACAAUUUAAAUCCCUUAACGAGGAUCAAUUGGAGGGCAAGUCUGGUGCCAGCAGCCGCGGUAAUUCCAGCUCCAAUAGCGUAUAUUAAUGUUGUUGCAGUUAAAAAGCUCGUAGCGACUCUCGGGGCGGUGUCAACGGUCCGCAGCAAUGUGGCACUGUUGUCUCCGCCUCUUCCUUCUGGACACCAUGUCUUCUCUUAACUGAGCGGAUGUGGGGGCCAGAUCGUUCACUUUGAACAAAUUAGAGUGUUCAAAGCAGGCCUCCGCCUGAAUACUUGAGCAUGGAAUGAUAUCAAUAGGUCCUUCCUCCCCGUUUAUUGGUGAUGGGGAGGAAGGAAAUGAGAAAGGGGAAUGGUUGGGGCCAUUCGUACUGCAGCGUUAGAGGUGAAAUUCUUGGAUCGCUGCAAGACGAACAACAGCGAAAGCAUUUGGCAAGAACGUUUCCACCGGUCAAGAACGAAAGUUAAGGGUUCGAAGACGAUCAGAUACCGUCGUAGUCUUAACCAUAAACUAUGCCGACUAGAGAUCGGUGGAUGUUAUUUUAUGACUCCAUCAGCAUCUUAUGAGAAAUCAAAGUCUUUGGGUUCCGGGGGGAGUAUGGUCGCAAGGCUGAAACUUAAAGGAAUUGACGGAAG
RNAcentral lists this ribosomal RNA (726 nucleotides) under eukaryote marine clone ANT12-13. Its description in RNAcentral is "SSU rRNA". It matches the Rfam family "Eukaryotic small subunit ribosomal RNA", at positions 427 to 1162 of the family's 1831-position model. The record is from RNAcentral.